RNAcentral lists this ribosomal RNA (443 nucleotides) under uncultured bacterium. RNAcentral's name for it is "partial 16S ribosomal RNA". It matches the Rfam family "Bacterial small subunit ribosomal RNA", at positions 338 to 795 of the family's 1533-position model. The record is from RNAcentral.
CCUACGGGAGGCAGCAGUGGGGAAUAUUGGGCAAUGGGCGCAAGCCUGACCCAGCAACGCCGCGUGAGGGAAGAAGGCUCUCGGGUUGUAAACUUCUUUUAUCAGGGACGAAGCAAGUGACGGUACCUGAUGAAUAAGCCACGGCUAACUACGUGCCAGCCGCCGCGGUAAUACGUAGGUGGCAAGCGUUAUCCGGAUUUACUGGGUGUAAAGGGCGUGUAGGCGGGAAAGCAAGGCAGAGGUGAAAACCCUGGGGUCAACCUGUGGCCUUCAUUUGAAACUGGUUUUCUUGAGUACUGGAGAGGCAGACGGAAUUCCUAGUUGAGCGGUGAAAUGCGUAGAUAUUAGGAGGAACACCAGUGGCGAAGGCGGUCUGCUGGACAGCAACUGACGCUGAGGCGCGAAAGCGUGGGGAGCAAACAGGAUUAGAUACCCGUGUAGGC